RNAcentral lists this ribosomal RNA (1737 nucleotides) under Salmonella enterica subsp. enterica. RNAcentral describes it as "partial 23S ribosomal RNA". It matches the Rfam family "Bacterial large subunit ribosomal RNA", at positions 1223 to 2925 of the family's 2925-position model. The record is from RNAcentral. Lineage: Bacteria; Pseudomonadati; Pseudomonadota; Gammaproteobacteria; Enterobacterales; Enterobacteriaceae.
GUUGGGUAGGGGAGCGUUCUGUAAGCCUGCGAAGGUGGCCUGUGAGGGUUGCUGGAGGUAUCAGAAGUGCGAAUGCUGACAUAAGUAACGAUAAAGCGGGUGAAAAGCCCGCUCGCCGGAAGACCAAGGGUUCCUGUCCAACGUUAAUCGGGGCAGGGUGAGUCGACCCCUAAGGCGAGGCCGAAAGGCGUAGUCGAUGGGAAACGGGUUAAUAUUCCCGUACUUGGUGUUACUGCGAAGGGGGGACGGAGAAGGCUAUGUUGGCCGGGCGACGGUUGUCCCGGUUUAAGCGUGUAGGUGUGUGUUCCAGGUAAAUCCGGUUCACUUUAACACUGAGGCGUGAUGACGAGGCACUACGGUGCUGAAGCAACAAAUGCCCUGCUUCCAGGAAAAGCCUCUAAGCAUCAGGUAACAUCAAAUCGUACCCCAAACCGACACAGGUGGUCAGGUAGAGAAUACCAAGGCGCUUGAGAGAACUCGGGUGAAGGAACUAGGCAAAAUGGUGCCGUAACUUCGGGAGAAGGCACGCUGACACGUAGGUGAAGUGAUUUACUCACGGAGCUGAAGUCAGUCGAAGAUACCAGCUGGCUGCAACUGUUUAUUAAAAACACAGCACUGUGCAAACACGAAAGUGGACGUAUACGGUGUGACGCCUGCCCGGUGCCGGAAGGUUAAUUGAUGGGGUCAGCGCAAGCGAAGCUCCUGAUCGAAGCCCCGGUAAACGGCGGCCGUAACUAUAACGGUCCUAAGGUAGCGAAAUUCCUUGUCGGGUAAGUUCCGACCUGCACGAAUGGCGUAAUGAUGGCCAGGCUGUCUCCACCCGAGACUCAGUGAAAUUGAACUCGCUGUGAAGAUGCAGUGUACCCGCGGCAAGACGGAAAGACCCCGUGAACCUUUACUAUAGCUUGACACUGAACAUUGAGCCUUGAUGUGUAGGAUAGGUGGGAGGCUUUGAAGUGUGGACGCCAGUCUGCAUGGAGCCGACCUUGAAAUACCACCCUUUAAUGUUUGAUGUUCUAACGUGGACCCGUUACCCGGGUUGCGGACAGUGUCUGGUGGGUAGUUUGACUGGGGCGGUCUCCUCCUAAAGAGUAACGGAGGAGCACGAAGGUUGGCUAAUCCUGGUCGGACAUCAGGAGGUUAGUGCAAUGGCAUAAGCCAGCUUGACUGCGAGCGUGACGGCGCGAGCAGGUGCGAAAGCAGGUCAUAGUGAUCCGGUGGUUCUGAAUGGAAGGGCCAUCGCUCAACGGAUAAAAGGUACUCCGGGGAUAACAGGCUGAUACCGCCCAAGAGUUCAUAUCGACGGCGGUGUUUGGCACCUCGAUGUCGGCUCAUCACAUCCUGGGGCUGAAGUAGGUCCCAAGGGUAUGGCUGUUCGCCAUUUAAAGUGGUACGCGAGCUGGGUUUAGAACGUCGUGAGACAGUUCGGUCCCUAUCUGCCGUGGGCGCUGGAGAACUGAGGGGGGCUGCUCCUAGUACGAGAGGACCGGAGUGGACGCAUCACUGGUGUUCGGGUUGUCAUGCCAAUGGCACUGCCCGGUAGCUAAAUGCGGAAGAGAUAAGUGCUGAAAGCAUCUAAGCACGAAACUUGCCCCGAGAUGAGUUCUCCCUGAGACUUAGAGUCUCCUGAAGGAACGUUGAAGACGACGACGUUGAUAGGCCGGGUGUGUAAGCGCAGCGAUGCGUUGAGCUAACCGGUACUAAUGAACCGUGAGGCUUAACCUUACAACGCCGAAG